GUGUAUGUAAUUUAAAAAAAAUA
Molecule: transfer RNA, 23 nt
Filed under: Senticolis triaspis
Lineage: Eukaryota; Metazoa; Chordata; Lepidosauria; Squamata; Colubridae
Description: partial tRNA-His
Source: RNAcentral